UCUAAAUUGGCAGAAUAAGUGUAAUAGAGUUUAGAACUCUUAUAUAAAUUAAUAUUUAUUUAGAA
RNAcentral lists this transfer RNA (65 nucleotides) under Ammothea calmani. Its description in RNAcentral is "tRNA-Leu". The record is from RNAcentral. Lineage: Eukaryota; Metazoa; Arthropoda; Pycnogonida; Pantopoda; Ammotheidae.